UGGGGAAUUUUGCACAAUGGGGGAAACCCUGAUGCAGCGACGCCGCGUGAUUUAGAAGGCCUUCGGGUUGUAAAAAUCUUUUGUAUGGGAAGAAAAUGACAGUACCAUACGAAUAAGGACCGGCUAAUUACGUGCCAGCAGCCGCGGUAAUACGUAAGGUCCGAGCGUUGUCCGGAAUCAUUGGGCGUAAAGGGUACGUAGGCGGAUAAGCAAGUUAGAAGUGAAAUCCUAUAGCUUAACUAUAGUAAGCUUUUAAAACUGCUCAUCUUGAGGUAUGGAAGGGAAAGUGGAAUUCCUAGUGUAGCGGUGAAAUGCGCAGAUAUUAGGAGGAAUACCGGUGGCGAAGGCGACUUUCUGGCCAUAAACUGACGCUGAGGUACGAAAGCGUGGGUAGCAAACAGG
This 402-nucleotide ribosomal RNA is filed under the name Verrucomicrobiota bacterium. Its description in RNAcentral is "Verrucomicrobia bacterium partial 16S ribosomal RNA". It matches the Rfam family "Bacterial small subunit ribosomal RNA", at positions 355 to 776 of the family's 1533-position model. Lineage: Bacteria; Pseudomonadati; Verrucomicrobiota. The record is from RNAcentral.